GCUUGUCUCAAAGAUUAAGCCAUGCAUGUCUAAGUAUAAACACCUUUAUACUGUGAAACUGCGUACAGCUCAUUAAAUCAGUAAUAAUUUAUUUGAUGGUGACUUACUACAUGGAUAACCGUAGUAACCUAGAGCUAAUACAUGCACAAAAUCCCGACUUCACGGAAGGGAUGUAUUUAUUAGAUAAAAAACCAAUCCGGCAACGGUGCUUGGUGAUUCAUAAUAACUGUUCGAAGCGCACGGCCUCGCGCCGGCGCUAGUUCAUUCAAAUUUCUGCCCUAUCAACUUUCGAUGGUAAGGUAUUGGCCUACCAUGGUUACCACGGGUAACGGGGAAUUAGGGUUCGGUUCCGGAGAGGGGGCCUGAGAAAUGGCCACCACAUCCAAGGAAGGCAGCAGG
Molecule: ribosomal RNA, 399 nt
Filed under: uncultured Filosa
Lineage: Eukaryota; Cercozoa
Description: partial small subunit ribosomal RNA
Rfam family: Eukaryotic small subunit ribosomal RNA
Source: RNAcentral